CCUACGGGUGGCAGCAGUGGGGAAUAUUGGACAAUGGGGGCAACCCUGAUCCAGCCAUGCCACGUGUGUGAAGAAGGCCCUCGGGUUGUAAAGCACUUUCAGUGAGGAAGAACGCCUGGUGGUUAAUACCCAUCAGGAAAGACAUCACUCACAGAAGAAGCACCGGCUAACUCCGUGCCAGCAGCCGCGGUAAUACGGAGGGUGCGAGCGUUAAUCGGAAUUACUGGGCGUAAAGCGCGCGUAGGUGGCUUGAUAAGCCGGUUGUGAAAGCCCCGGGCUCAACCUGGGAACGGCAUCCGGAACUGUCAAGCUAGAGUGCAGGAGAGGAAGGUAGAAUUCCCGGUGUAGCGGUGAAAUGCGUAGAGAUCGGGAGGAAUACCAGUGGCGAAGGCGGCCUUCUGGACUGACACUGACACUGAGGUGCGAAAGCGUGGGUAGCAAACAGGAUUAGAUACCCGGGUAGUC
Molecule: ribosomal RNA, 465 nt
Filed under: Vreelandella stevensii
Lineage: Bacteria; Pseudomonadati; Pseudomonadota; Gammaproteobacteria; Oceanospirillales; Halomonadaceae
Description: partial 16S ribosomal RNA
Rfam family: Bacterial small subunit ribosomal RNA
Source: RNAcentral